AGAAAUUGCACAUCAAAUUAUUGAACAACAGAUGGGAGAGGAUAGAAUUUUGUGGCAAUAGAAUCGGUAGUUUAAAAGAUUGUUACAGAGCAGCAAACUGGGCAGAAAAUCCAGAUUGUGACAGCACUUGAUCAUAAUACCCAAGGCAAGCAGUUCAUUCUGACAAAUCACGACGGCUCUACUCCAAGCAAAGUCAUUCUGGCCAGGCAAGAUUCCACUCCGGGAAAAGUUUUCCUUACAACUCCAGAUGCAGCAGGUGUCAACCAGUUAUUUUUUACCACUCCUGAUCUGUCUGCACAACACCUGCAGGACGUCAUUAUGGAGCAGUAACUUGUGAAGGCUGCAAAGGAUUUUUUAAAAGAAGCAUCCGAAAAAAUUU
RNAcentral lists this long non-coding RNA (379 nucleotides) under Homo sapiens (human). RNAcentral's name for it is "non-protein coding lnc-FGD6-2:5". Lineage: Eukaryota; Metazoa; Chordata; Mammalia; Primates; Hominidae. The record is from RNAcentral.